Molecule: transfer RNA, 74 nt
Filed under: Candidatus Woesearchaeota archaeon
Lineage: Archaea; Nanobdellati; Candidatus Woesearchaeota
Description: tRNA-Ile
Rfam family: tRNA
About the family: Transfer RNA (tRNA) molecules are approximately 80 nucleotides in length.
Source: RNAcentral
GGGUCCGUAGCUUAGCCUGGUUGAGCACCGGUCUUAUAAGCCGGAAGUCGUGGGUUCAAAUCCCAUCGGACCCA